This 492-nucleotide ribosomal RNA is filed under the name uncultured Pseudoalteromonas sp. RNAcentral's name for it is "bacterial SSU rRNA". It matches the Rfam family "Bacterial small subunit ribosomal RNA", at positions 30 to 509 of the family's 1533-position model. Lineage: Bacteria; Pseudomonadati; Pseudomonadota; Gammaproteobacteria; Alteromonadales; Pseudoalteromonadaceae. The record is from RNAcentral.
UUGAACGCUGGCGGCAGGCCUAACACAUGCAAGUCGAGCGGUAACAGAAGGUGCUUUGCUACUUUUCUGACGAGCGGCAGAGGGGAGAGUAGUGCUUGUGAACAUGCCUUGAGGUGGGGGACAACAGUUGAAAACGACAGCAAAUACCGCAUAAUGUCUACAGUCCAUAUGGGGUUUCAGAUCUCGCCUUUAGAUUGAUCCAAGUGUGAUUAGCUAGUUUGUGAGGGAAUGAAUAACCAAGGCGACUAUUCCUACCUGGUUUGAGAGGAUGAUCAACCACACUGGGAGUUACAGACGAGCCCAAACUCCUACCGAAGGCAGGAAUGGGGAAUAUUGCUCAAUGGGCGCAAGCCAUGAUGCAGCCAUGCCCCGUGUGUGAAGAAGGACUUCUUGUUGUAAAGCAAUUUCAGUCAGGAGGAAAGGAAAUUACUUAAUACCUAUCGAUCCUGUGACGUUACUAGCACACGAAGAAACACCGGCUAACUCCGUGAC